UACUUUAGAGACUUACUUAACGAGGAGGGGGAUCGUAACAUAGAGCUAGGGGAGUUGGUGCAUUCAGAGCGACAUAGAGACCUUGGGUACUGCAGGCGCAUUAGGGCGGAUGAGGUCAUGUGGGCUUUGCGUAGGAUAAGUAGGGGUCGAGCGAUCGGGCCUGACGAGAUCCCGGUGGAGUUGUGUAAAUGCAUGGGUAGGUCAGGAGUGGAGUGGCUCUCCAGGUUUUUUAAUGCGAUCUUCAGGACCAAAAAGAUGGAGGAGGAGUGGAGGUGGAGUACAGUGGUGCCCUUGUACAAGAACAAAGGGGACAUCCAGUGCUGCAACAACUAUAGCGGUAUCAAAUUAAUAAGUCACACCAUGAAGGUUUGGGAGAGGGUGAUUGAGCCGCGGGUGAGGGAGGUGACAUCUAGAUCUGGGAACCAGUUCGGUUUCAUGACGGGCCACUCCACUACAGAGGCUAUCCACCUUGUCAGGCGGAUGGCGGAGCAAUUCAGGGAUAAGAAGAAGGACCUGCACAUGGUGCUUAUAAGUCGAGGGUGAGGGAGAUGACAUCUAUAUCUGCAAACCAGUUCGGUUUCAUGCCGAGUCUUUCCACUACAGAAGAUAUCCACCUCGUCAGGAGGCUGGUGGAGCAGUUCAGGGAUAAGAAGAAGGACAUGCACAUGGUGCUUAUCGACUUGGAGAAGGCGUAUGACAAGGUCCCAAGGGAGGUGCUAUGGAGGUGCUUGGAGGCGAACAGCGUGCCGGAAGCCUACAUCAGAGUAAUCAAAGACAUGUACGAUGGAGCUAUGACUAGGGUUAGGAUGGUGGGUGGCGACUCAGACCAUUUUUCCAGUGGUUAUGGGGCUCCAUCAAGGAUCGACGCUUAGUCCUCUCUUGUUUGCCUUGGUGAUGGAUGCUCUAUCCCGUCCUAUUCAAGGGGAUGUGCCUUGGUGUAUGCUAUUUGCUGAUG
Molecule: long non-coding RNA, 955 nt
Filed under: Nicotiana benthamiana
Lineage: Eukaryota; Viridiplantae; Streptophyta; Magnoliopsida; Solanales; Solanaceae
Description: long non-coding RNA (NBEN_LNC026581)
Source: RNAcentral